CGUUUGUUUUGCAAGUGUCAUUGCCGACUUCUCCUUCUUCCCUAACAAAGAAAUACACAUUGUAUAUACUGAGUUAAAUGACACUUCAUUGGUAGCAGCAAAGAGCCCUGAACCCAGAACCUCAGGCAUUCUAACAAACCCACAUGCUAUGAAUAAUUUUACCUUAUUACCCAACGAACCUGUGCGGCCACAGCAUAUUCCUCCAUCAGCGGUUCCAUCGUAAAAUGGAACUGCAACGGAUCAUCUGUUGAUAAACAAACGUUCA
Molecule: non-coding RNA, 265 nt
Organism: Ciona intestinalis (vase tunicate)
Lineage: Eukaryota; Metazoa; Chordata; Ascidiacea; Phlebobranchia; Cionidae
Source: RefSeq, a predicted model, not a curated record